RNAcentral lists this ribosomal RNA (459 nucleotides) under uncultured bacterium. Its description in RNAcentral is "bacterial SSU rRNA". It matches the Rfam family "Bacterial small subunit ribosomal RNA", at positions 58 to 507 of the family's 1533-position model. The record is from RNAcentral.
CUUGUUCAGAUUUGAUUUUCAACAUUGCAAGUGAGUGGCGAACGGGUGAGUAACACGUGGGAAACCUACCUCUUUAGCAGGGGAUAACAUUUGGAAACAAAUGCUAAUACCGUAUAAUAAUUAAAACCGCAUGGUUUUAGUUUAAAGAUGGUCUUGCUAUCACUAAGAGAUGGUCCCGCGGUGUAUUAGUUAGUUGGUGAGGUAAUGGCUCACCAAGACAAUGAUACAUAGCCGAGUUGAGAGACUGACCGGCCACAAUGGGACUGAGACACGGCCCAUACUCCUACGGGAGGCAGCAGUAGGGAAUCUUCCACAAUGGACGAAAGUCUGAUGGAGCAACGCCGCGUGUGUGAUGAAGGGUUUCGGCUCGUAAAACACUGUUGUAAGAGAAGAAUGACAUUGAGAGUAACUGUUCAAUGUGUGACGGUAUCUUACCAGAAAGGAACGGCUAAAUACGUG